This is a long non-coding RNA of Cuculus canorus (common cuckoo), 1826 nucleotides long. RefSeq lists it as uncharacterized. The record is from RefSeq and is a predicted model, not a curated record. NCBI's taxonomy places the organism in Eukaryota, Metazoa, Chordata, Aves, Cuculiformes, Cuculidae. The transcript is spliced from 4 exons.
CUUGCUUCUCUCAGAUAGUCUGUCUGUAAAUAUUUUGAAUUUUUAGACUCCAAAUUUAAUCCUCUCAAAAGCUAGAAAGAGAUAAUAUUUAGUUUAACAAAAAUCAAGUUAUAUAUCUUCUGAGAUAUUUACUUUUCUGGAAAAGGCUCUUGACCUUCACUUUGUGUUAUCCUAGGUCUGCUUCCAAUGUAAUCUUUAAGAUUUCAGCAACUGUUAUAUGUUUAUGACACAGUAGUGCCUGGAAGCCUCAAUUGCUCUCUUACAUAUGAGUGCACCUCAUAUCUGCAGUGUGAGAACUUCUGAAGGACAUGCUAAAGACAUUGUGCUUUGAAAACACAAAGUAGCCAGUUUGGGUUAACUGGAGAGGAAAAGACUUGAAGCCUUCAGCCUGAAAAAUAUUCUGACCAUACUGAAAUAAGUGGUAAAUCCCACUGAUUCUGUAGAUAUGAAAUUCCAGCUGCAACUUUCUUCCAAUCUCACUGGAAGGAAUACGUGUGAAGCAGGGCGGAAAGGCAGAUGAAGAGAAAGACAGCUUCUGUGCUAUAUGGUUCAUUGGCUUCAGAGUUUUUCAGAUGACAUUUUAAGAAAGAAAGAUCAUAAUCUGUGUUUUCAAGGUACUUUGAUUGUUUAUUUGUUUCUUAAACAGAGGCAGGCUACAACAUUUCUGAAAGCCAUCUGAAAAUGCUGAAGAAAGGAGUAAGUGAGUGAGCCUGUGGAAAAGACUGUCUGUCAAGCUCAGAAGAAUGAACAAGGAUUCUCGAUUUCUGAAGACUGAAUUCUUCAUGUAGUGUUGGCCUUAUGUAGCAUGGAAGUUUCAGGCUCCAAACCCUAUCAUGUUUUCCUGGUAUCCUUAUAAGCCAGAUAGGAAUUACAUUUUGUGAUACACACUGCUAUUGAAUCAGAGAGAGAUGCUGCUCAAUUUUUCCUCACAUUGUGCAUGGAAAGAAGAGAAAACCGGCAGAUAAUCGAUACACUUCAGAGUGUGGUGAAUUAGAUUGAUAACGUACAUGAUGUGAAGAAUUAAGAAAGUCAUAGUCUGUCGGCAUGGGUAGGAACAGAGUAAAUGAUCCUUAACCACUGGAAAACAACGAGCUAGAAAUUCAGACUUAGAAGGCUGCUGAACACCUAUCUUCAAUAUGAAUUGUGAAAAUAUAAAACUGCACUGUAAAGAUGUACAGUAUUGUGGCAUGAAUACUGUAAGACUAUCCUCCUCCAAAACUUUUUACUUCGUCUAAGAGCACUGUUGGUGACUUUUCUCAUUUUUAACACACUGACUAUGAACAGUUUUUGCCACUAGUUGCUGGGCCCUGAUUUUCACAGCAAGAGGGAUCUAUGCUACCCAACAAAGAAGAUGGGGGGUAAACCAUGCUGAUAAUACUGGGUUGGUUAUUUCAGUGACUAGAGUGAAUGUCAUGGCUCAGACAAAUAGCUCCAGACACAGCCACAAUUUAGCAAUUACUGCACGCAACUAUAAUGCUAAGCCUUCACCGGGAAAGGAAAAUUAAAGGGCUGCAAGUUCAGUGAAUAAAUCCAGGCAUUAAUAUGUAAUCUUUUCAGCUGAAGGAAAAUACGAGUGCCAGACAACAAUGGCAUGACACUAGGGAGAUUUUGUUCAAAAUUAAUCUUAUUUCAUCAAUUCAUAGCUAAUUUGAUAUACAGUGUUCUUGUCUGAGUAUUCAGAAGUAUUUUGGAACUUGCAUUAUUCCUCUCUUAUCAGAGGAAGAAUUAGUUUUGUGAAAAACCGCAGCUUGCCAAGUGACUUGUAUCUGAUUAUUUCUUUGAUUUUAUCCAAGAAAAAUGAACAAAAAUCACUUAAGAUACUUACA